UAUUUUAGUCUUGUUAGAGGAACCUGUUUUAUAAUCGAUAAACCACGNAUAUCUUACUUAUUUUAAAUAAUUUGUAUACCGUCAUUAUUAGAUAACUUUCAAAAAAUUAGUUAUUAAAAUUAAAUAAAAUUAAAUAAAAUUAAAUAUAUUAGAUCAAGGUGCAGUUAAUAAAUAAGAAAAAAUGGGUUACAAUAAAAUUUAUUUAAAACGAAUUAUAUAAAUGUAAAAAUAUAUGAAGGAGGAUUUAAUUGUAAUUUUUUUUUUUAAUAAUAAUAAUAUGAUAAUAGCUCUAAAAUAU
This 298-nucleotide ribosomal RNA is filed under the name Aegla schmitti. RNAcentral's name for it is "partial 12S small subunit ribosomal RNA". The record is from RNAcentral. Lineage: Eukaryota; Metazoa; Arthropoda; Malacostraca; Decapoda; Aeglidae.